UACGUAGGGUGCAAGCGUUGUCCGGAAUUAUUGGGCGUAAAGGGCGCGUAGGCGAUUUGAAAAGUCUUGUGUGAAAGCCCCGAGCUUAACUCGGGAAGUGCACAAGAAACUGUUGAAUUUGAGUUCCGGAGAGGAAGGCAGAAUUCCCAGUGUAGCGGUGAAAUGCGUAGAUAUCGGGAGGAAUACCAGUGGCGAAGGCGGCCUUCUGGACGGAUACUGACGCUGAGGCGCGAAAGCCAGGGGAGCAAACGGG
Molecule: ribosomal RNA, 253 nt
Filed under: uncultured bacterium
Lineage: Bacteria
Description: partial 16S ribosomal RNA
Rfam family: Bacterial small subunit ribosomal RNA
Source: RNAcentral